AAGGUUAAGAUAUAUUAUCAUACCCCAUAAUCUGAAUUGUAAAUAAGUAGAUCUUGGCACGUGCAGCAUGUGUGAUUUAUUCAGUAAUAAAGAGCUUUUGAUUGAUGGUUGUGACACAUAAUAUGAGAUUUCCAUUGAUUAAUUUGAUAAAUUUCUUUUAUUUUAAGUUUAUACAUAUACUCUCUUAUCAAAUUAGGGAUAUAUAUUUUUAAUAGAAUAACUUUUUUUGUGGGGGA
Molecule: long non-coding RNA, 236 nt
Filed under: Elaeis guineensis (African oil palm)
Lineage: Eukaryota; Viridiplantae; Streptophyta; Magnoliopsida; Arecales; Arecaceae
Description: long non-coding RNA (EGUI_LNC076601)
Source: RNAcentral